UGGUACUGUUGGAGCAGCGGCUUGUG
This 26-nucleotide non-coding RNA is filed under the name Homo sapiens (human). The record is from RNAcentral. Lineage: Eukaryota; Metazoa; Chordata; Mammalia; Primates; Hominidae.